GAUGAACGCUGGCGGCGUGCUUAACACAUGCAAGUCGAACGGAAAGGCCACAGCUUGCUGUGGUACUCGAGUGGCGAACGGGUGAGUAACACGUGGGUGAUCUGCCCUGUACUUCGGGAUAAGCUUGGGAAACUGGGUCUAAUACCGGAUAGGAAUCACAUGUGGGUGUGUGGUUGGAAAGCUUUUGCGGUAUGGGAUGAGCUCGCGGCCUAUCAGCUUGUUGGUGGGGUAAUGGCCUACCAAGGCGUCGACGGGUAGCCGGCCUGAGAGGGUGUACGGCCACAUUGGGACUGAGAUACGGCCCAGACUCCUACGGGAGGCAGCAGUAGGGAAUAUUGCACAAUGGGCGCAAGCCUGAUGCAGCGACGCCGCGUGGGGGAUGACGGCCUUCGGGUUGUAAACUCCUUUCGUCAGGGACGAAGCGAAAGUGACGGUACCUGGAUAAGAAGCACCGGCUAACUACGUG
RNAcentral lists this ribosomal RNA (466 nucleotides) under uncultured bacterium. Its description in RNAcentral is "partial 16S ribosomal RNA". It matches the Rfam family "Bacterial small subunit ribosomal RNA", at positions 28 to 507 of the family's 1533-position model. The record is from RNAcentral.